RNAcentral lists this long non-coding RNA (204 nucleotides) under Scleropages formosus (Asian bonytongue). RNAcentral's name for it is "lncRNA (ENSSFOG00015029526.1)". The record is from RNAcentral. Lineage: Eukaryota; Metazoa; Chordata; Actinopteri; Osteoglossiformes; Osteoglossidae.
CCGCUACCUUGCCACCACUCAAGGAAGCUCCACCCCUGAAGAGUGACUGACAGAAACGCCCUGGUGGUGAGGCAGAUUCACAGGCUCAGGCAGACGCAGACGCAGCACCAGUCCUCUCCCAGACAGACGCACGUGCAGUUCUCACACACGGCACACCCUGAUAAACGCAGGGACUGCAGUACAGCUAGGAAAGGGAGAGCAGAG